GAUGAACGCUGGCGGCGUGCUUAACACAUGCAAGUCGAACGAUGAAGCCCAGCUUGCUGGGUGGAUUAGUGGCGAACGGGUGAGUAACACGUGAGUAACCUGCCCUUAACUCUGGGAUAAGCCUGGGAAACUGGGUCUAAUACCGGAUAGGAGCGUCCACCGCAUGGUGGGUGUUGGAAAGAUUUAUCGGUUUUGGAUGGACUCGCGGCCUAUCAGCUUGUUUGUGAGGUAAUGGCUCACCAAGGCGACGAAGGGUAGCCGGCCUGAGAGGGUGACCGGCCACACUGCGACUGAGACGCGGCCCAGACUCCUACGGGAGGCAGCAGUGGGGAAUAUUGCACUAUGGGCGCAAGCAUGAUGCAGCGACGCCGCGUGAGGGAUGACGGCCUUCGGGUUGUAAACCUCUUUCAGUAGGGAAGAAGCGAAAGUGACGGUACCUGCAGAAGAAGCACCGGCUAACUACGUG
Molecule: ribosomal RNA, 466 nt
Filed under: uncultured bacterium
Lineage: Bacteria
Description: partial 16S ribosomal RNA
Rfam family: Bacterial small subunit ribosomal RNA
Source: RNAcentral